Molecule: microRNA precursor, 82 nt
Organism: Macaca nemestrina (pig-tailed macaque)
Lineage: Eukaryota; Metazoa; Chordata; Mammalia; Primates; Cercopithecidae
Source: Ensembl
UUAGAUUGGUGCAAAAGUAAUUGUGGUUUUUGCUUUGAAAAGUAAUUGCAAAAACUACAAUUGCUUUUGCACCAACCUAAUA